This 492-nucleotide ribosomal RNA is filed under the name uncultured bacterium. RNAcentral's name for it is "partial 16S ribosomal RNA". It matches the Rfam family "Bacterial small subunit ribosomal RNA", at positions 29 to 507 of the family's 1533-position model. The record is from RNAcentral.
AUUGAACGCUGGCGGCAUGCUUUACACAUGCAAGUCGAACGGUAACAGGCCUUCGGGUGCUGGCGAGUGGCGAACGGGUGAGUAAUGCAUCGGAACGUACCCAGAGGUGGGGGAUAACGCAGCGAAAGCUGUGCUAAUACCGCAUGUGAUCUGAGGAUGAAAGCGGGGGACCGAGCAGCAAUGUUUGGCCUCGCGCCUUUGGAGCGGCCGAUGUCGGAUUAGCUAGUUGGUGGGGUAAAGGCCUACCAAGGCGACGAUCCGUAGCUGAUCUGAGAGGACGACCAGCCACACUGGGACUGAGACACGGCCCAGACUCCUACGGGAGGCAGCAGUGGGGAAUUUUGGACAAUGGGCGCAAGCCUGAUCCAGCAAUGCCGCGUGCGGGAAGAAGGCCUUCGGGUUGUAAACCGCUUUUGGCAGGAACGAAACGGUGUCCGCUAAUACCGGGCGCUAAUGACGGUACCUGCAGAAUAAGCACCGGCUAACUACGUG